This 480-nucleotide long non-coding RNA is filed under the name Fragaria vesca (wild strawberry). RNAcentral's name for it is "long non-coding RNA (FVES_LNC005235)". The record is from RNAcentral. Lineage: Eukaryota; Viridiplantae; Streptophyta; Magnoliopsida; Rosales; Rosaceae.
AAUGAUCGUUCAAAGAGGAGCACUAAUAGAAAGAAAAAUGAAGUGAUAUUUGCACCCAAGGAGAAAGAGACCACCUCCAACUUCGACUCCAAAAUGGCUAUAACAGUUGGUGAUAACUUAUCAAUGGGUUCUGCUCAUGUUCAGAAUAAUGGUGCUAGUACUUCUUAUGGCGAAAAGAUUCAAGAAUCCAACUCCAAACCUAACCCUUGGGUUUUAUAUGACAUUACAGCAUCAAUCCCAUAUAAUCUUGAGGAAAUAAUGAUCGAUGAAAGUUUGAGACAGUUGUAGUUUGUGUAUUCAGGGUAAUACCCUCAUGUCAGUUGUAACAUAUUUGUCGCUAUUAAAUAAAUCAUUUACAGGCAAGUUAGUAGAAAGUUACGAUCAAGGCCAUGAUGUUUUUUAAAGCUUGUGAGUAAAGUUGAAAUUCUGUGGAAAAAAAAAAAAAAUAUAUAUAUAUAUAUAUAUAUAUAUAUAUAUACA